Molecule: ribosomal RNA, 253 nt
Filed under: uncultured bacterium
Lineage: Bacteria
Description: partial 16S ribosomal RNA
Rfam family: Bacterial small subunit ribosomal RNA
Source: RNAcentral
UACAGAGGGGGCAAGCGUUAUUCGGAAUUAUUGGGCGUAAAGGGCGCGUAGGCGGCUUUGCAAGUGACGGGUGAAAUCCCUCGGCUUAACCGAGGAACUGCCUGUCAAACUGCAUGGCUUGAGACCGGGAGAGGUGAGUGGAAUUCCCAGUGUAGCGGUGAAAUGCAUAGAUAUUGGGAGGAACACCAGUGGCGAAGGCGGCUCACUGGACCGGUACUGACGCUGAUGCGCGAAAGCGUGGGGAGCAAACAGG